Long non-coding RNA from Papaver somniferum (opium poppy), 697 nucleotides. RefSeq lists it as uncharacterized. The record is from RefSeq and is a predicted model, not a curated record. The transcript has 3 exons. Lineage: Eukaryota; Viridiplantae; Streptophyta; Magnoliopsida; Ranunculales; Papaveraceae.
CGGGAGAACUGAAUGAAAAGGAAGAAACGGAAUGGUUCAUGUAUUGAUCUGGAUAAUCAUCGGUAUCAGCGGACUCGUGAUGAGCUCGUUUGGAUCGAGUUUUAAGCCUCCGACCCUACAUCACCUCAAGAGAGAAAGGGGUUGUAUUUCUUGUAUACACCACCAACAGGAUGCAUAUAUGUUGGGAUCGGGUUGCAUCGGUAUCAUGGCAAGACCGUGGGUCCGAAACAAUGUUUUUGACAGCCUUACAGGGUUUGCACACACAUCAAGGAAUUGCGGAACUGGAGAUGCAAUUCACUUCCAACAUUGAUUCCAACUCAUGUGUCCAAGGAAAAGGCUUACUACAAAACUGGCAGUUGAAGAUGAUAACUGAUUGGUUGGAUUUUGGAUGGCGAUCCUAAUUAAGUUGUGGAUAACACAAGGAUUCUUUGUCCUGUCCAAGGAACUAACAAAGCCGUAAUGCGGACCAGAAGAGCUUGAUUUUUUGGAGUAAUGGAUAUCCUCCUUUCUGACGAGAAAGAAGAAGAUUAUUCGCAGCGCUUAUCCGUUCAUGUUCAUCCCUAUAGUUAAUAGGGAAUAUGCCCCAAAAUCGACUGUCAUCUUGGAAAUAUCCCAGGAUUCCAGUUUAUGGGUAUAUGACCCAAACUAACGGUUUCCGUCAAGGAACCGUUAAAUAGUCAAUUUAUUUUAAAUGUGU